CGCACCUUGCGCUCCUUGGUAUUCCGAGGAGCAUGCCUGUUUGAGUGUCAGUAAAUUCUCAACCCCUCCAGCUUUUGUGUUGGACUUUGGGGCUUGGAUAUGGGGUUUGUCGGCCUUUGUUAUAAGGGUCAACUGCUCUGAAAUACAUUAGCGGAAACCGUUUGCGAUCCGUCACAGGUGUGAUAACUAUCUACGCCAAGGGGAUUGCUUUCUGUGGUGUUCAGCUGCCAAUUGUCUGCAAGGACAACAUAUACUGAUUAUUUGACCUCAAAUCAGGUAGGACUACCCGCUGAACUUAA
RNAcentral lists this unclassified non-coding RNA (299 nucleotides) under Lepiota sp. RNAcentral's name for it is "partial contains 5.8S ribosomal RNA, internal transcribed spacer 2, and large subunit ribosomal RNA". The record is from RNAcentral. Lineage: Eukaryota; Fungi; Basidiomycota; Agaricomycetes; Agaricales; Agaricaceae.